Molecule: ribosomal RNA, 253 nt
Filed under: uncultured bacterium
Lineage: Bacteria
Description: partial 16S ribosomal RNA
Rfam family: Bacterial small subunit ribosomal RNA
Source: RNAcentral
UACGUAGGUGGCAAGCGUUGUCCGGAAUUAUUGGGCGUAAAGCGCGCGCAGGCGGUCUGUUAAGACCGAUGUGAAAGCCCCGGGCUUAACCUGGGAAUGGCAUUGGAAACUGGCUCGCUGGAGUGUGGCAGAGGGGGGUGGAAUUCCGCGUGUAGCAGUGAAAUGCGUAGAGAUGCGGAGGAACACCGAUGGCGAAGGCAGCCCCCUGGGCUAACACUGACGCUCAGGCACGAAAGCGUGGGGAGCAAACAGG